GAAUUUAAUUCAUACGUCUUGUUUUAGGUUUAUGCUGUUGUUUAUUUUGUCUUUAUUGGGCGUUAAGAUUAAGGGGGAUUAGCUCCUUAUUUUGUUUUUAUAAUUUUUGUUAGGUAUUUAGUUUUGUGGAUUUUAUAUUGAUUUUCGAUUUGAUUAUGUUGAAAUUUUAUUUAUUUCUUUUGUUAUUUUAGUUUGUUUAAUUGUUUAUUGGAAUGUUUUCUUUAUUUUUUAUUGGAUUGUAAUUAUUGUGGAAUUAGUAAAUUUGUUUGUUGUGUUGUUUGUAUUUUAUGUUUAAUUUCUUCUGAGGAAUUAGGCAAAGUUUUGUGUCCGCCUGUUUAACAAAAACAUCUUUUCUUGUUAGUUUUUGAAGUAUGGCCUGCCCGCUGACGUUUGUGUUGAAGGGCCGCGGUAUUUUGACCGUGCAAAGGUAGCAUAAUCAUUAGUUCUUUAAUUGUGAUCUGGAAUGAAUGGCUUGACGAGGCACUAGCUGUCUUAGUGUUGAAUAUUUUAUUGAAUUUGGUCUUUGAGUUAAAAUUCUUAAAUGUUUUUAUGGGACGAGAAGACCCUAUAGAGUUUAACAUUUUGUUUAUUUGCUUGUUUGUUGUUUGUUUGUUUUUGGUAAGUAGGCUUUUUGUUUUGUUGGGGUGAUGAGAGGAAUGUGUUUAACUCCUCUUGGUUUUGGUUAUAUUGAUUUAUAUUUAUUUGAUCCA
RNAcentral lists this ribosomal RNA (710 nucleotides) under Coptotermes truncatus. Its description in RNAcentral is "partial 16S ribosomal RNA". The stretch from base 302 to 496 matches the Rfam family "Bacterial large subunit ribosomal RNA", at positions 1705 to 2024 of the family's 2925-position model. Lineage: Eukaryota; Metazoa; Arthropoda; Insecta; Blattodea; Rhinotermitidae. The record is from RNAcentral.